This 251-nucleotide ribosomal RNA is filed under the name uncultured prokaryote. RNAcentral's name for it is "partial 16S rRNA". It matches the Rfam family "Bacterial small subunit ribosomal RNA", at positions 525 to 775 of the family's 1533-position model. The record is from RNAcentral.
ACGGGGGGUGCAAGCGUUGUUCGGAAUUAUUGGGCGUAAAGAGCGUGUAGGCGGCUGAAUAAGUCAGAUGUGAAAUCCCUGGGCUUAACCCAGGAAGUGCAUUUGAAACUAUUCAGCUUGAGUAGGGGAGAGGAAAGUGGAAUUCCUGGUGUAGGGGUGAAAUUCGUAGAUAUCAGGGGGACCACCGGUGGCGAAGGCGACUCUCUAGCACGAUUCCGACACUGAGACGCGAAAGCGUGGGUAGCAAACAG